GACGAACGCUGGCGGCGUGCUUAACACAUGCAAGUCGAACGGAAAGGCCUUUUCGGAGGUACUCGAGUGGCGAACGGGUGAGUAACACGUGGGUGAUCUGCCCUGCACUCUGGGAUAAGCCUGGGAAACUGGGUCUAAUACCGGAUAGGACCGCACUUUAGUGUGUGUGGUGGAAAGUUUUUUCGGUGUAGGAUGAGCCCGCGGCCUAUCAGCUUGUUGGUGGGGUAAUGGCCUGCCAAGGCGGCGACGGGUAGCCGGACUGAGAGGUUGGUCGGCCACAUUGGGACUGGGAUACGGCCCAGACUCCUACGGGAGGCAGCAGUGGGGAAUAUUGCACAAUGGGCGCAAGCCUGAUGCAGCGACGCCGCGUGGGGGAUGACGGCCUUCGGGUUGUAAACUCCUUUCGCCAGGGACGAAGCGUUUUGUGACGGUACCUGGAGAAGAAGCACCGGCUAACUACGUG
RNAcentral lists this ribosomal RNA (463 nucleotides) under uncultured bacterium. RNAcentral's name for it is "partial 16S ribosomal RNA". It matches the Rfam family "Bacterial small subunit ribosomal RNA", at positions 28 to 507 of the family's 1533-position model. The record is from RNAcentral.